RNAcentral lists this ribosomal RNA (216 nucleotides) under uncultured bacterium. RNAcentral describes it as "partial 16S ribosomal RNA". It matches the Rfam family "Bacterial small subunit ribosomal RNA", at positions 1284 to 1500 of the family's 1533-position model. The record is from RNAcentral.
CGUCCCAGUUCGGAUCGCAGGCUGCAACCCGCCUGCGUGAAGUCGGAAUCGCUAGUAAUCGCGGAUCAGCAUGCCGCGGUGAAUACGUUCCCGGGCCUUGUACACACCGCCCGUCACACCAUGAGAGUUGGGAAUACCCGAAGCCUGUGAGCUAACUUUUAGAGGCAGCAGUCGAAGGUAGAAUCAAUGAUUGGGGUGAAGUCGUAACAAGGUAAC